This is a non-coding RNA of Podarcis lilfordi (Lilford's wall lizard), 69 nucleotides long. The record is from the annotation of a GenBank genome assembly. Lineage: Eukaryota; Metazoa; Chordata; Lepidosauria; Squamata; Lacertidae.
GGAUAGCUCAGUUGAUAGAGCAUGAGACUCUUAAUCUCAGGGUCAUGAGGUUCAGCCUCAUGUUGGGCA